This 485-nucleotide ribosomal RNA is filed under the name uncultured bacterium. RNAcentral's name for it is "bacterial SSU rRNA". It matches the Rfam family "Bacterial small subunit ribosomal RNA", at positions 28 to 516 of the family's 1533-position model. The record is from RNAcentral.
GAUGAACGCUAGCUACAGGCUUAACACAUGCAAGUCGAGGGGAAACGACAUCGAAAGCUUGCUUUUGAUGGGCGUCGACCGGCGCACGGGUGAGUAACGCGUAUCCAACCUGCCCAUCACUUGGGAAUAACCUUGCGAAAGUAAGACUAAUACCCAAUGAUAUCCAUAGAAGACAUCUGAAAUGGAUUAAAGAUUUAUCGGUGAUGGAUGGGGAUGCGUCUGAUUAGCUUGUUGGCGGGGUAACGGCCCACCAAGGCGACGAUCAGUAGGGGUUCUGAGAGGAAGGUCCCCCACAUUGGAACUGAGACACGGUCCAAACUCCUACGGGAGGCAGCAGUGGGGAAUAUUGGGCAAUGGGCGAAAGCCUGACCCAGCAACGCCGCGUGAAGGAAGAAGGUCUUCGGAUUGGUAAACUUCUUUUAUCAGGGACGAAGUAAGUGACAGUACCUGAUGAAUAAGCCACGGCUAACUACGUGCCAGCAGCC